Molecule: ribosomal RNA, 253 nt
Filed under: uncultured bacterium
Lineage: Bacteria
Description: partial 16S ribosomal RNA
Rfam family: Bacterial small subunit ribosomal RNA
Source: RNAcentral
AACGUAGGAGGCGAGCGUUAUCCGGAUUUACUGGGUGUAAAGCGCGUGCAGGCGGUCGAUUAAGAUGGGUGUGAAAGCUCCCGGCUCAACUGGGAGAGGUCGCUCAUGACUGGUCGACUGGAGAGCAGUAGGGGAAGGUGGAAUUCCGGGUGUAGUGGUGAAAUGCGUAGAUAUCCGGAGGAACACCAGUGGCGAAGGCGGCCUUCUAGACUGUAUCUGACGCUCAGACGCGAAAGCUAGGGUAGCAAACGGG